RNAcentral lists this long non-coding RNA (368 nucleotides) under Homo sapiens (human). RNAcentral describes it as "non-protein coding lnc-IGFBP3-8:2". The record is from RNAcentral. Lineage: Eukaryota; Metazoa; Chordata; Mammalia; Primates; Hominidae.
AAGACCUCCAGCUAUUUAUGGGUUGAUUACAAGCUCAGUAUGAUUCAAUUGAUGAUUAGAUAGUAGACAUCACCUGUUACGAUUGGAGCCCUGUGGCCAAGAGGACGCCUGUGAACUAUUUCACCUGAUUAGGCCACGCUGGGAUUUUUUGCUUGGGUGAGAGGUCGUGCUUCCCCAGGACACGGGCAGCAGCCUGGAGAGAGGAGUCUCAGAGGGUAACCCUGCUCUUCUCAAAUAUGGAAAGCUCCUAUGUGGAAGGGCAGUGAGUGGGAUUUAUCUUUUUCUGGGGAUUCCAGAUGGCAGAAAAUGGCAGAUUUUCCCAAUUCCACAUUUUGGAAGUAUCAAGAGCUGUUUCAUGAGAUAAGCUG